CCUACGGGAGGCAGCAGUGGGGAAUAUUGGACAAUGGGCGCAAGCCUGAUCCAGCAAUGCCGCGUGAGUGAUGAAGGCCUUAGGGUCGUAAAGCUCUUUUACCAGGGAUGAUAAUGACAGUACCUGGAGAAUAAGCUCCGGCUAACUCCGUGCCAGCAGCCGCGGUAAUACGGAGGGAGCUAGCGUUGUUCGGAAUUACUGGGCGUAAAGCGUACGUAGGCGGUUAUUCAAGUCAGAGGUGAAAGCCCGGGGCUCAACCCCGGAACGGCCUUUGAAACUAGGUAGCUAGAAUCUUGGAGAGGUCAGUGGAAUUCCGAGUGUAGAGGUGAAAUUCGUAGAUAUUCGGAAGAACACCAGUGGCGAAGGCGACUGACUGGACAAGUAUUGACGCUGAGGUACGAAAAGCGUGGGGAGCAAACAGGAAUUAGAUACCCUGGUAGUCCACGCCGUAAAACGAUGAUAACUAGCUGUUCGGGCACUUGGUGCUGUAGUGGCGCAGCGUAACGACAUUAAAGUUUAAUUACCGUCCGUCGGGGUAGGGUAACGGGUACCGGCCGAACGAAAGUUAAAAACGUUAAACGAAAACGGAAAAGUUAAGUAACGGUACGUGAGAAGUGCCGAACGGACGACGACGAGGGGAAGGGAGGGAG
Molecule: ribosomal RNA, 650 nt
Filed under: uncultured bacterium
Lineage: Bacteria
Description: bacterial SSU rRNA
Rfam family: Bacterial small subunit ribosomal RNA (bases 1-528)
Source: RNAcentral